UAAGAGGCCCACUGCCGAGAUCGAAACUUGGCACACGGGCGACGACGACGAAGCCGCCGUUCAAGAGGACGAGUGUGACAAGGGACAGGACGAGUCAUGUGCCGAACGGAUUGUCUCACGUAACACAAAGCAGUGAUGGUAACCCCUUUGUGGAUUAACAAUGUAGAUGUAGAUGUAGACUUACAAAAGAAGAAGCAUACAGGGUGGUAAAUUAAACAAAAAAUCAUCUAUUUUGUUGACGACUCAAGCAAAGAUAAGAGCAGCUUCAGAAAAUCCUUCAUGCCCCCCCCCCGUGCCAUAAACAGGAAAGGGAUUCUAAAAAUUUAUUUUUAUAAAGACAAGAUUGGUACCUGAACAAUAUGGAACUAGAUAUACAAUAGUACGUAACAUUGUGAACUGAAUAAAAUUUUCAUUUGAACGAC
Long non-coding RNA from Nematostella vectensis (starlet sea anemone), 422 nucleotides. RefSeq lists it as uncharacterized. Lineage: Eukaryota; Metazoa; Cnidaria; Anthozoa; Actiniaria; Edwardsiidae. The transcript has 2 exons. The record is from RefSeq and is a predicted model, not a curated record.